RNAcentral lists this ribosomal RNA (651 nucleotides) under uncultured bacterium. RNAcentral's name for it is "bacterial SSU rRNA". It matches the Rfam family "Bacterial small subunit ribosomal RNA", at positions 141 to 808 of the family's 1533-position model. The record is from RNAcentral.
GGAUAACACAUCGAAAGGUGUGCUAAUACCGCAUGAAAUGACGGGAUCGCAUGAUCCUGUUAUCAAAGGAGCAAUCCGCUGAAAGAUGGGCUCAUGUCUGAUUAGAUAGUUGGUGAGGUAACGGCUCACCAAGUCGACGAUCAGUAGCCGGACUGAGAGGUUGAACGGCCACAUUGGAACUGAGAGACGGUCCAGACUCCUACGGGAGGCAGCAGUGGGGAAUAUUGGGCAAUGGGCGCAAGCCUGACCCAGCAACGCCGCGUGAAGGAAGAAGGUCUUCGGAUUGUAAACUUUUGUCUUAUGGGACGAUAAUGACGGUACCAUAGGAGGAAGUCACGACUAACUACGUGCCAGCAGUCGCGGUAAUACGUAGGUGGCAAGCGUUAUCCGGAAUUAUUGGGUGUAAAGGGUGCGUAGGCGGGAUGUAAAGUCAGAUGUGAAAUGCCGCAGCUUAACUGCGGAGCUGCAUUUGAAACUUAUGUUCUUGAGUGAAGUAGAGGCAAGCGGAAUUCCUAGUGUAGCGGUGGAAUGCGUAGAUAUUAGGAGGAACACCGGUGGCGAAGGCGGCUUGCUGGGCUUUUACUGACGCUGAGGCACGAAAGUGUGGGGAGCAAACAGGAUUAGAUACCCUGGUAGUCCACACCGUAAACG